RNAcentral lists this ribosomal RNA (417 nucleotides) under Pseudomonas sp. CL1.91. RNAcentral's name for it is "bacterial SSU rRNA". It matches the Rfam family "Bacterial small subunit ribosomal RNA", at positions 84 to 497 of the family's 1533-position model. The record is from RNAcentral. Lineage: Bacteria; Pseudomonadati; Pseudomonadota; Gammaproteobacteria; Pseudomonadales; Pseudomonadaceae.
UCCUGAAUUCAGCGGCGGACGGGUGAGUAAUGCCUAGGAAUCUGCCUGGUAGUGGGGGACAACGUUUCGAAAGGAACGCUAAUACCGCAUACGUCCUACGGGAGAAAGCAGGGGACCUUCGGGCCUUGCGCUAUCAGAUGAGCCUAGGUCGGAUUAGCUAGUUGGUGAGGUAAUGGCUCACCAAGGCGACGAUCCGUAACUGGUCUGAGAGGAUGAUCAGUCACACUGGAACUGAGACACGGUCCAGACUCCUACGGGAGGCAGCAGUGGGGAAUAUUGGACAAUGGGCGAAAGCCUGAUCCAGCCAUGCCGCGUGUGUGAAGAAGGUCUUCGGAUUGUAAAGCACUUUAAGUUGGGAGGAAGGGCAGUAACCUAAUACGUUGCCGUCUUGACGUUACCGACAGAAUAAGCACCGGC